Molecule: long non-coding RNA, 258 nt
Filed under: Equus caballus (horse)
Lineage: Eukaryota; Metazoa; Chordata; Mammalia; Perissodactyla; Equidae
Description: lncRNA (ENSECAG00000046897.1)
Source: RNAcentral
AUGGCCUGAAUUCCUCAUUUCUGCCUUCAAGUUACACAGGGACUCCUCACACCCAGCGGUGGAGAAACUUGUCCAGCAGUGAAUUUAGUGCAAAGCAGUGGGCAGCACAUUUCCACGGGAACUUUGCUGCACUUGUAUUUUGAGUCUAGUUCCCAAAGCCACCAUCGUGUGGAAUGAGCGCACUGUGGUAGCUUAUAUGCUAGCUUCCAGGUACUUGAGGCUUGCGGGCAAGUGCAUCCAAGAAACAUUCAGGGAACC